RNAcentral lists this ribosomal RNA (208 nucleotides) under Clostridioides difficile. Its description in RNAcentral is "partial 23S ribosomal RNA". It matches the Rfam family "Bacterial large subunit ribosomal RNA", at positions 1230 to 1438 of the family's 2925-position model. Lineage: Bacteria; Bacillati; Bacillota; Clostridia; Peptostreptococcales; Peptostreptococcaceae. The record is from RNAcentral.
AGGGGAGCUUCCCAUACGGGUUGAAGCAUGACCGUAAGGACAUGUGGACAGUAUGGGAGUGAGAAUGUUGGCAUGAGUAGCGAGAUGUGGGUGAGAAUCCCCCAGGCCGUAAACCCAAGGUUUCCAGGGGAAGGUUCGUCCGCCCUGGGUUAGUCGGGACCUAAGCUGAGGCCGAAAGGCGUAGGUGAUGGACAACAGGUUGAUAUUC